UGCAACUGUGAUUUUAAAAAAUAAAUUAUUAAACAAUUAUUGUUUACUUCAUAACAUUGAAUGCAAGUGGCCCAUUCUUGACCUCUUAACGUUGUUCCAUAUCUUAUCCAAAAAAAAAAAAAAAAAUUGUUCCAUAUAAAGAACAAAAAUAAUUUAAUGGCAUCAAGGCCCAGUGAAUUGGGACCAAGAGCAAUUGAGGGACCCAUGAAAAAGACACAGGGCAAGUGGAGUAGGAAAAUCAAAGAUCCCAAGUGCACGUGGAAAAAGCUGGAAUUUUACCUAAAAAAAGAAAAAUCCAGCUACCCUACAACUGUUGUAAACUACCAUCAAUUUUUGUUUUUUGUGACGUUAAAUUUCAUUUGACCCCUUAUUUUUUUACAAGAUAUUUAUAAGUUUAUGUGCACGGCUGGCGAUGUUUUAAAAUUACAUUUU
This 432-nucleotide long non-coding RNA is filed under the name Citrus x clementina. Its description in RNAcentral is "Citrus clementina (C. clementina) long non-coding RNA (CCLE_LNC001511)". Lineage: Eukaryota; Viridiplantae; Streptophyta; Magnoliopsida; Sapindales; Rutaceae. The record is from RNAcentral.